Molecule: ribosomal RNA, 329 nt
Filed under: uncultured eukaryote
Lineage: Eukaryota
Description: partial 18S ribosomal RNA
Rfam family: Eukaryotic small subunit ribosomal RNA
Source: RNAcentral
CCCUUAGAUGUCCGGGGCCGCACGCGCGCUACACUGAAGGAAUCAGCGUGGCUUUCUCCCUGACCCGAAAGGGUUGGGAAACCCGUUGAAUCUCCUUCGUGAUAGGGAUUGGGGCUUGAAAUUGUUCCCCAUGAACGAGGAAUUCCCAGUAAGCGCGAGUCAUAAGCUCGCGUUGAUUACGUCCCUACCCUUUGUACACACCGCCCGUCGCUACUACCGAUUGGGUGUGCUGGUGAAAUGUUCGGAUCGGCCGUUUGUCGCGGUUUCCGCGUCAUGUGGCUGAGAAGUUCAUUAAACCCUCCCACCUAGAGGAAGGAGAAGUCGUAACA